Oncorhynchus tshawytscha (Chinook salmon) is the source of this 363-nucleotide long non-coding RNA. NCBI's taxonomy places the organism in Eukaryota, Metazoa, Chordata, Actinopteri, Salmoniformes, Salmonidae. The record is from Ensembl.
GGGGGGAGAGCAUCACAGAGAAAGCGCUCUCUAGCUUCGGAUACCGUGUAACGACUCGGACGAAUUCACAUCCCAACAUCAACCAGAGCAGGGGUCAGCGGACCAACGCAUACAACCUGGGAAAUUGGGGGAUUACAUUUUUCUUUUAAAUGGAUUCCUCUGGACAUUUCCUUCGUCGAAAGAAGACCUCAUCAAAUUGACUUCAUAGGUUGAGAAGCAACUGCUCUCUAUCCCCCUGUCUCCGUGUCUGCCCCACAUAGUGCUGUGGACUGGAUAAGUAGGUGCACAAUGGCUUAUGGACAUAGUAGUUUAGCGCAGAAAAUGUGCUAAUUAACUCUGUAGAAUAUUAGCCUGUUUGGAACU